RNAcentral lists this small nucleolar RNA (132 nucleotides) under Dasypus novemcinctus (nine-banded armadillo). RNAcentral describes it as "Small nucleolar RNA SNORA38 (ENSDNOG00000049248.1)". It matches the Rfam family "Small nucleolar RNA SNORA38". From Rfam's summary of the family: ACA38 is a member of the H/ACA class of snoRNA that guide the sites of modification of uridines to pseudouridines. The record is from RNAcentral. Lineage: Eukaryota; Metazoa; Chordata; Mammalia; Cingulata; Dasypodidae.
CCCUCCUACAAAGGUGUGUCCGUAGUUUCCUUUCCUUGAACAUGUAAGAAUUUGAGGCAAAGAGAGGUGGACUUCGAGAAGUUUGGAGCCAACUUGCUCCCCAUGGUCUCAAGAUCUCUCUUUUCAACCCAG